RNAcentral lists this ribosomal RNA (880 nucleotides) under Streptomyces canus. Its description in RNAcentral is "bacterial SSU rRNA". It matches the Rfam family "Bacterial small subunit ribosomal RNA", at positions 61 to 962 of the family's 1533-position model. The record is from RNAcentral. Lineage: Bacteria; Bacillati; Actinomycetota; Actinomycetes; Kitasatosporales; Streptomycetaceae.
GUCGACGAUGACCACUUCGGUGGGGAUUAGUGGCSAACGGGUGAGUAACACGUGGGCAAUCUGCCCUUCACUCUGGGACAAGCCCUGGAAACGGGGUCUAAUACCGGAUACCACUACCGCAGGCAUCUGUGGUGGUUGAAAGCUCCGGCGGUGAAGGAUGAGCCCGCGGCCUAUCAGCUUGUUGGUGAGGUAAUGGCUCACCAAGGCGACGACGGGUAGCCGGCCUGAGAGGGCGACCGGCCACACUGGGACUGAGACACGGCCCAGACUCCUACGGGAGGCAGCAGUGGGGAAUAUUGCACAAUGGGCGAAAGCCUGAUGCAGCGACGCCGCGUGAGGGAUGACGGCCUUCGGGUUGUAAACCUCUUUCAGCAGGGAAGAAGCGAAAGUGACGGUACCUGCAGAAGAAGCGCCGGCUAACUACGUGCCAGCAGCCGCGGUAAUACGUAGGGCGCAAGCGUUGUCCGGAAUUAUUGKKCKUMCCCCCCYCSYASGCGGCUUGUCACGUCGGGUGUGAAAGCCCGGGGCUUAACCCCGGGUCUGCAUUCGAUACGGGCUAGCUAGAGUGUGGUAGGGGAGAUCGGAAUUCCUGGUGUAGCGGUGAAAUGCGCAGAUAUCAGGAGGAACACCGGUGGCGAAGGCGGAUCUCUGGGCCAUUACUGACGCUGAGGAGCGAAAGCGUGGGGAGCGAACAGGAUUAGAUACCCUGGUAGUCCACGCCGUAAACGGUGGGAACUAGGUGUUGGCGACAUUCCACGUCGUCGGUGCCGCAGCUAACGCAUUAAGUUCCCCGCCUGGGGGAGUACGGCCGCAAGGCUAAACUCAAAGGAAUUGACGGGGCCCGCACAGCAGCGGAGCAUGUGGCUUAUUCGACGCACGC